This 220-nucleotide long non-coding RNA is filed under the name Pongo abelii (Sumatran orangutan). RNAcentral's name for it is "lincRNA". Lineage: Eukaryota; Metazoa; Chordata; Mammalia; Primates; Hominidae. The record is from RNAcentral.
GCAGUAAGCCAUGCUUUAGCCUCUGACCUGUGCUCCAAUUUUGGCACAAUGAUUUCUGCCAUGUUCUCCAACAGAAAAGGAACUGCAUGUGUUUUUCUGCCUCUUCCAGAUGUAUGUCAUAAAAGUUGGAUGCCUUCCUUUUAAGACAUUUGAAUGGAUCACCAAAUAAUUACCUACUUUUCUCUCACAACUCAGAUAAAUAAUUAAAAGGAGAUAUACA